This 1992-nucleotide ribosomal RNA is filed under the name Triticum aestivum (bread wheat). RNAcentral's name for it is "partial small subunit ribosomal RNA". The record is from RNAcentral. Lineage: Eukaryota; Viridiplantae; Streptophyta; Magnoliopsida; Poales; Poaceae.
AUGAUUAGUACAAGUAUCCUAGUUUGGAAUGUUAGAGGCCUAAACUGCCCAGCUCGCUGUGGGGUGGUCCGUGAUGUUGUUUCCAAGCAUAAAUCGGCGAUUAUCUGUUUGCAAGAGUCAAAAUUAGCUCAUGUCGAUCAACUGUUGGUAAAGCAAGUUUGUGGUUCUAAUUGUUCUGAAUUUCUGUACUCGCCUGCAUCGGGAACCAGAGGGGGCAUCAUCAUGGCUUGGGAUCCAGCCCUGGUUGAUGUUGACUUGCAGGAGUGCCACCGCUCCUUUUUAGCUGUUGUUUGUUGUUGGAAAUUGACUGGGAUAAAAUUCAGAGUUGUGACUGUCUAUGGACCACAAUCUGACUCAGACAAGCUGAAAUUCCUUGAAGAUUUGAGACCUCUUUGCUCCUCUGCUUUGCCGUGUAUUUUUGCUGGGGAUUUUAACUUGAUUGCUGAUGCUGCUGAUAAAAGUAAUUUGAACUUGAAUAGGAGAAUGAUGGCUGCUUUCAGGAGAUUCAUCAAUGAGCUUGAGCUUAGAGAUUUGUACUUGCACGGGAGAAAAUAUACCUGGACGAAUGAGCAGCAAAAUGCAACCAAAGUGAAACUUGACAGAGUACUAUACAGUGGUGAUUGGAUGGCUGUUCACCCAAACUGCAUUCUUGCUGCCCUGUCGAGUGACAUUUCAGACCACUGUCCCCUGCUACUCUCCACUAAUGCCACCUUCACAUCCCCAAGACAUUUCAGAUUUGAUAACUACUGGACUGGAUUCGAGGGCUUUCAACACGUGGUGAAUGAUUGCUGGGCAAAGCCAACCGGAUGCUCCGAUCCAUACCUUGUGUUGCAUUGCAAGCUCACCAACACUGCUAGGGCUCUGAAGAAGUGGAGUUCCUCCCACCUUGGCGAUCUUAAGCUCAGAGCAGCCAUCUCUAGUGAGCUCAUUGGAAAGUUGGAUGCGGCUAUAGACGGAAGAGAUCUCACUAGCAGCGAGCGUCGCCUUCGGACAUCCCUGAAAAUGAAUCUUCUGGGCAUUGCAGCGAUCCAGCGAGCUCACUGGCGGAAAAGGGCUAGAAUUGACUGGUUGAAAGACGGUGACGCGAGCACUGAAUUUUUUCAUGCAAAGGCUUCUACGAGACGGUGUAAGAAUCUUAUCCUUAGUAUUAAGCAUAAUGGUACGAUGGUGACUGGCCAGGAUGAAAAGUUGCAAGCUAUUUGGGAGCAUUUCUCCUCGGUCCUUGGAACUAAGAAACAGAGAGGUUGCUGUCUGAAUUUCAUUGAAUUGGGCAUAAACCAAAAAGAUCUCUCGGGUCUGGAGUGCCCCUUCACUAAGCAGGAAGUUAAGGCUGCAAUUAUGGACCUAAACCCAAGAAAAGCCCCUGGGCCUGAUGGAUUCAUGGCACUGUUCUUCCAAAAGUGUUGGGACAUUGUAAAAGGGGAUGUCAUGCUGGCGAUCAAGGCUUUUGAGUGUUGCAAUGUCCGAAACCUUGCUAGUCUUAACAAUGCAAUCAUCAUUCUCAUCGCCAAGGGAGCAGAUGCGGAAGAGGCUAAAGACUAUAGGCCUAUUAGUCUGCUCUCCUUCUUUGCGAAGAUUAUCAUGAAGGUCCUUGCAAGAAGAUUGCAACCAAUGAUGAAAGACCUGGUGCUUCCUUCGCAGAGUGCAUUCAUCAAGGGCAGAGCAAUCCACGACAAUUUUGUCUUUGUUAAAGGAAUGGUCAGAUCGCUAUACCUGAAGAAAAUCCCUUCUGUGAUGCUGAAACUGGAUAUUGAAAAGGCGUUUGAUAGUGUCUCAUGGGAGUUCCUGAUUGAGGUCCUCACCGCGAAAGGUUUUGGACAAAAGUGGAGAAACUGGAUUGUUGCGAUGCUUGCUUCUUCUUCCACUCGGGUUCUUGUCAAUGGCGAGCUUUCUGAGAAAAUUUUCCAUCACAAGGGCCUUAGGCAGGGUGACCCACUUUCACCGCUGCUUUUCGUCCUUGUCAUGGACUUGCUUGAUGCAAUGAUGAUGUGA